UACGUAGGUGGCAAGCGUUGUCCGGAAUUAUUGGGCGUAAAGCGCGCGCAGGCGGUCCUUUAAGUCUGAUGUGAAAGCCCACGGCUCAACCGUGGAGGGUCACGCGAUACUGCUCGACUUGAAGGCAGGAGAGGGAAGUGGAAUUCCCGGUGUAGUGGUGAAAUGCGUAGAUAUCGGGAGGAACACCAGUGGCGAAGGCGACUUCCUGGCCUGUUCUUGACGCUGAGGCGCGAAAGCUAGGGUAGCAAACGGG
Molecule: ribosomal RNA, 253 nt
Filed under: uncultured bacterium
Lineage: Bacteria
Description: partial 16S ribosomal RNA
Rfam family: Bacterial small subunit ribosomal RNA
Source: RNAcentral